GGCGGGAGCCGGCGCUGCCCAACGGCCGCGGCGCGCGCCGCCCAACGGCCGCCGGCGGCUCCGCCAGCCCUUCCCGAGGCGGCCGCGGGGGCUCCGGGCGGGCUCGGGGCGGGCUCCGGGCGGGCAGCCCCCGCGCUGCGCUUUCCGUCCGUCCGGCGUGUGUUUCCCCCCGGGAGCUGACGAAGAGCGUGAAGCGCUGAGCACAGGUUCACCCGUAUCCUUCCCCCAAGCGCUGCCGCGGCUUCCCGCACAGGUCACGAGCGAAUUCGCACGGACAUGGAAAGGACCCUUCAGGUGCAGCUCUUCAAUACCUUUUCAGCUGAGAAUGCAACAUGGGGCUCCCGCCAAGAGUAAAAAAGGGAAGGCAGACUGACCUGACCAGAAGAUAAUUUCUCUUUUUCAUAACAAUGAUAGCAAUGUAGCUGAAAAGUGGUUGGCUUUAAUUAAAUUUGAAAAUUUUAGUGCUUAAAUUCUGUAUUACUUUUGCAAUGUAUCACCAGAGGAAACAAAACCAACUGGAAUAUAAAUAAGCUUACAAAUCCUCCUGACAAAAAAAAACAACAAACUGGAGCACAGUGCUAAACUGUACUAACAAAUCCUCACUCUUCAGUGGUAACCAGCAGGAAUAUAAUGUUUCAUCUACCCAAGAGAUUCCUCCAUUCCUUCUCCCUUCUGUUUCCUCCUGACCCACCAAUUCUCUCUGCACAGAAACUUCACCCUUACAGUCCAAAUGAGAAAACAGGCUUACUAGAAUUCACUCUUGCUCCCCAGCAACUUGAAAUCAGUUCCUAAGCAGAAAGAAUUUUUAUUCAGGUAGUUUUCAGGAGCAACUUGUGGUAAGAAGCAAGACAAAACAAGAAAAACAAUUCUGAAAGCACGUUCAGCCAAGACACUACAGGAUUACACACAACAAGUAGUGAAGAUCCAUCUGUUAAAUUCCUCAUUGCAAAAGCUUAAUUGAAGUGACAUAAAUGGCAAAGCAUGAACAUUUUAUAACUUAAUCAGCUAAGAAUAAUUUUUAAUAUUCUCUUCUAAUGUUAAAGCCAAGCUUCUUACCUUGUAUUAAAUUUUACAUUUACAAGA
Long non-coding RNA from Apus apus (common swift), 1083 nucleotides. RefSeq lists it as uncharacterized. The transcript has 2 exons. The record is from RefSeq and is a predicted model, not a curated record. Lineage: Eukaryota; Metazoa; Chordata; Aves; Apodiformes; Apodidae.